GCACGGGUGGCGAAAUUGGUAGACGCACUACCUUGAGGUGGUAGCGCCCAUUAGGGCAUGGAGGUUCGAGUCCUCUCCCGUGCA
This is a non-coding RNA of Parcubacteria bacterium C7867-002, 84 nucleotides long. Lineage: Bacteria; Candidatus Parcubacteria. The record is from Rfam.